GUUGGAUUAGGCCAAAGCUCAAAAGACAAGAAAAUUUUGGAUAUCUACAUUAAAGAGUACAGCUCAAUAAAACAACUAAUAACAAAAAGAAACUCAAAUUAAAAGUAACCAAUAAUUAGGAAGAAGUCUUAUUUGGCACAUGUUGGUAACAAAUCUUAUUUGGUAAUACGUUGGUAACAAAUUCUACCAAAUUAAGUCAUAAAUUUAAAAACCAUGAUUAACUAAUUUAUAUAUAAAUAUCUAAAUAAUAUACAUUAUCUAAGGAGUACACAAAUGUUAUUAAAGCACAUAUAUGUAGUGGUCUUUGGGCAAUCAUCACGAGUACCGCAGGGAAUAGCUGCAUUUUAAAAUAAGAAAAAAGAUUAUUAUUUAAGGUGAUAUAAUAUUGCGUAUAAGAUAAUUAAAUUUGAAAAUUUAAAAUGGUUUAAAAAAUGACAUACCGCCACUGGUAAAAAAAACAAAUAGAGAAAAAA
This 473-nucleotide long non-coding RNA is filed under the name Medicago truncatula (barrel medic). RNAcentral describes it as "lncRNA gene40689". Lineage: Eukaryota; Viridiplantae; Streptophyta; Magnoliopsida; Fabales; Fabaceae. The record is from RNAcentral.